Molecule: long non-coding RNA, 833 nt
Filed under: Danio rerio (zebrafish)
Lineage: Eukaryota; Metazoa; Chordata; Actinopteri; Cypriniformes; Danionidae
Description: lncRNA si:ch73-148i8.2 (ENSDARG00000099503.2)
Source: RNAcentral
CUGGAGUAAAAUUUUUAGAAAGUCCGCCAUUACACUACUCUGCCGAGCAGCACAUGAGAACUGGAGUUAUGUUCUUCGUUGUGAGAAGUGGUAGGCCUACUUGAUCAGAUGGAGAAACCUGCUGUUCACAUUUCAAAUAGGCUAACUUACACAAUGAGGCCACGAUGCUGAUAAAAGUGCAAUUUGGAGGCAAGAAAAAAUACAUUAAACUGGAAGAAGAUUGUUUCUUGGAUUUUUUCAGUGCGGUCCAGCACAAGUUUGUGAUACCAGAGGAGACAGCAUCGAAAGUCACAGAUGACCAUGGCAUAGAGGUGGAUGAGGAUGUAUUUCAAGAACUUGCAACAACCAAAGAAACAUGUCAUCCACACUGAUGAUGAUUUGACUGUCCUGCAACAAGGGGCUGUUGAAGUGCCCUCCUCCCCAAGUCUGACAGAUACAUUGUCUGUGUCAAGCAGUUUGAGCAGCAGUGAUUCUGGAUCUCAAAUUAUUCAACCUUUAAUAGGCAGUGUCCAAAAAAAUAAAAUUGAGAAAUUUCUAACUUCAAAGCCAGCUGACUGUGAUCAAGGAGUAUGACAAGAUAUUUUUUUGCUGCUUUUGAUUCCUGCAAAGUAAAUUUUAUUUAAUGUAAUGUGUUGAUUGUCUCAUGCAAUUUUACUAAGCCAUUGUUUUAGUUGGCACUAGCUGCUAACAUAUAUUAAUUGUAAAUGUUUUGCUGUUAGAUUUAAUGCUUUAAUGACAAUUAAUUUCAAAGUGUGUACAUUGAUGGAAAUUCUAAAUGUAAUGUGGGAUUUGCAUGAAUAAAAGCAGUAAGUAAAGAGUAUUGCAUCAGUUCA